This 456-nucleotide ribosomal RNA is filed under the name uncultured bacterium. RNAcentral's name for it is "partial 16S ribosomal RNA". It matches the Rfam family "Bacterial small subunit ribosomal RNA", at positions 338 to 795 of the family's 1533-position model. The record is from RNAcentral.
CCUACGGGAGGCUGCAGUGAGGAAUAUUGGUCAAUGGGCGCGAGCCUGAACCAGCCAAGUAGCGUGAAGGAUGACUGCCCUACGGGUUGUAAACUUCUUUUAUAAAGGAAUAAAGUGAGGCACGUGUGCCUUUUUGUAUGUACUUUAUGAAUAAGGAUCGGCUAACUCCGUGCCAGCCGCCGCGGUAAUACGGAGGAUCCGAGCGUUAUCCGGAAUUAUUGGGUUUAAAGGGAACGUAGAUGGGGUGUUAAGUCAGUUGUGAAAGUUGGCGGGUCAACCGUAAAAUUGCAAUUGAUACUGGCAGUCUUGAGUACAGUUGAGGUAGGCGGAAUUCGUGGUGGAGCGGUGAAAGGCUUAGAUAUCACGAAGAACUCCGAUUGCGAAGGCAGCUUACUAAACUGCCACUGACAUUGAUGCUCGAAAGUGUGGGUAUCAAACAGGAUUAGAUAAGUAGUC